This 567-nucleotide non-coding RNA is filed under the name unclassified sequences. RNAcentral describes it as "ROOL RNA". It matches the Rfam family "ROOL RNA". From Rfam's summary of the family: Firmicutes, Fusobacteria (1 example), Tenericutes (1 example). Environment (Cow rumen (57)) The record is from Rfam by way of RNAcentral.
GCUAUAAUUAAUUUAGAUUGAGAUGCUGGUGUAGAUGUUGACAAGCUGCCAGCAGCCCUCGCACGGACAGAGAAGCAAGGAUACUUGUAAUCGUUCCCGUUGAGAAAUCUGGAUGCUGUAAAAGGCAAAGCGAGUAGGCGUACGAUCAUUUCGAGAAGUCAAAAGCUAACAAAGCGUGGUCGGAAUAAUAGACGCUCCUGUGGAGAAUAACCUAUUAGACAGCUCUUUGGCAAGGGUGUGAAAAACUUGAUAGGAAAGCCAAACAAUCCGAUUCGUAGUGAAGAGAUUAAAAUCUCGUAUAACACGCUAUGUUGAACAAGUAGCCCAAUCUACGUUUGAAGAUAAUUCUUUCCGAAUGGCAUUUAUUCAAAAAGAAAAAUCCGAAAGCGGGUGAAAGUUAGAGGUUUCAAGCCUCUUGUCUCAACGGGCAGCGGCGUUUGAGUCGUUGUCGGGCUUAACUGCAUUAGGGUAGCUCCUUAAUGCACGGGUUAAGUUCGGGUAUGGCCGAAGAUGAUGAGUCGGAUGAUUGUAGGGUGAACAAAAGCCCCUCAAUCUUUUUUUGUUGCA